UUGUUAGCUGUGAUGGAAAUAAUCUACCUAUUUUCUGAAGGGGAGGCGGUUUACCAUCGUCUCUCUUCUGAUCGAAGAAAAUACCAAUGGAUCCUUCUGAGCUUUCU
Molecule: small nucleolar RNA, 107 nt
Filed under: Zostera marina
Lineage: Eukaryota; Viridiplantae; Streptophyta; Magnoliopsida; Alismatales; Zosteraceae
Source: RNAcentral